UACGGAGGGUGCAAGCGUUAUCCGGAUUCACUGGGUUUAAAGGGUGCGUAGGUGGGUUUGUAAGUCAGUGGUGAAAUCUCCAAGCUUAACUUGGAAACUGCCGUUGAUACUAUAAAUCUUGAAUGUUGUGGAGGUGAGCGGAAUAUGUCAUGUAGCGGUGAAAUGCUUAGAUAUGACAUAGAACACCAAAUUGCGAAGGCAGCUCACUACACAAAGAUUGACACUGAGGCACGAAAGCGUGGGGAGUCAAACAGGAAUUAGAUUACCC
This 268-nucleotide ribosomal RNA is filed under the name uncultured bacterium. RNAcentral's name for it is "partial 16S ribosomal RNA". It matches the Rfam family "Bacterial small subunit ribosomal RNA", at positions 524 to 787 of the family's 1533-position model. The record is from RNAcentral.